CCCUUAGAUAUCCUGGGCCGCACGCGCGCUACACUGAUGCAUUCAACAAGCCUAGCCUUGACCGAGAGGUCCGGGUAAUCUUUGAAACUGCAUCGUGAUGGGGCUAGAUUAUUGCAAUUAUUAAUCUUCAACGAGGAAUGCCUAGUAAGCGUGAUUCAUCAAAUCGCGUUGAUUACGUCCCUGCCCUUUGUACACACCGCCCGUCGCUCCUACCGAUUGAAUGAUCCGGUGAGGCCCCCGGAUUGUGGCAAUGGCUCUGGUUCGCCAGACCAAUGCUGCGAGAAGCUGUCCAAACCUUAUCAUUUAGAGGAAGGAGAAGUCGUAACA
This 327-nucleotide ribosomal RNA is filed under the name uncultured eukaryote. RNAcentral's name for it is "partial 18S ribosomal RNA". It matches the Rfam family "Eukaryotic small subunit ribosomal RNA", at positions 1470 to 1796 of the family's 1831-position model. The record is from RNAcentral.